ACUGGAUGACGAUUUGCUGCUUGCUCUCCUCGUGUGUUGACAAGUGUUUAAAAUUAUGAAGAACGAGUUAUUGUGGCCCAGGAGUGUUAUCAGAUAUUUGUGCGAACUGAUAGAAGGGCACAGAUUCCUCUGGGACCCACAAAAUGUGGACUAUCCCAAGCAUAAACUCAGAUUGAAAGUGUUUGGUGAGAUAGCCCAGGAAAUCAAGGCUCAAUACCCAGCGAUGACCACUUUGACUGCAGAGAGAAACUGGAAAUAUAAUGGCAGAAGAGGAAGAUUCUGUGAGGUUUAAAGGAGCUGCAUUGCACAGUCACUCAGUACAAGAUGCUACACUGCUGCAAGUUUGGUGUGUAGCACCUGUGUUCCUCUCUGCUGGACAGGCAUGGGUGGUUGGCUCAUGUAGGCUAGUGUCUCACCAUGCCUGACACACUGCCAGGUGGGGGCAGGGGUGGCAGGAGUGAGGAGCACCACUGGAGGGAUCCAAAACCAGUUGGUGAUGGCUUAAUGGAAUUGGUGUGGACUAACUCAAUCAUUAGCAGUGUGCUCUGAUUGCUUAAUCUAGAGUAUUUUAUUCUUUUCUGUUAAGUGUAGUGUCAUAUAGAACUCUUUUCAUGGCAGUGAAGAGCAGCCACACACACUGUUUUAUAUUGUAUUGUUAUAUGAAUAUAUGAAUAUAUUAUAUGAAGUUUACGGACUGAUGGUUUCAAAGCUAUUCUUUUUGACAUUGUUCUUUAUUCCUUUUUUUAUUGGGACUUGCAAAAAAAUGCUAACUUGAUGGGGUGUUUCUAAAGUUCGUGUAGAGUCAUUAUGGAACUUUAAAAUGAGAUUAGAGAAAUUUAUGGAAAGUGAAGAUGAUGAUGAUAGGUGGAGAAGGUAGACAUGUUUCAUGCAGGGACUGCCACGUGUAGGCCUGGUGGCUUCUUGCAGCAUCCCUUUUCAUAUGUUCUUAUUAUUGCUGCAAAUGAUAUAUCUCUCCUUACUUUGAUAACUAUGUGCUCACUGUUCCUCUCCACCAGUGUUUUGUAAAGCUGUUCGUUCCUCCAUGGAGUAGGUGAUGGGUGGUGGUGAGGCUUGCCCUUCAUACCUCCAUCACCUCUGUUGUGUAGCGAAGCCUCCACAAAUAAGUGUGCUUUUUCAUAACACUAUAUUAAUGUAUUUACUCUCCUAAUGGUAAGGUUAUUAAAUAAUGUAAGGGAAAUGUCUGUUUGUGUAUAAUUCUGGUACCAAAGUAUCUUAUUAUGUUUUAAGGACAUGAGCAUUUCUUUCAAUGAGUUGCUUCCUUUGUAUUUCUUUGUCCAUUGCUUUGUUUGCUACUUUUGUUUUGUAUUCAUGUACUCUGAUCACAUCCAUUAUUACAAUCUCAUGCUUUAUAGGAGCAGAUUGCUUAUCUGUUGCUGCACUGCCUUUCCAUUUUCUUCAGCCUAUGCUCUCUUUCCACACUGUCCUUAGCCAUCCAUCCUGCAUGUCUUGCCUUGAUUGGUUCUAUCCGUUCCAGCACGUCCCUCCUCACAGCCGAGUUGCUCAUCGCCUUGCCUUCUUCCAACCCUGAUGUGGAAGUGGCAGGAAUAUUGGAUGUGACUAAUGCACUGGUCUAUCAGGAA
This 1601-nucleotide unclassified non-coding RNA is filed under the name Portunus trituberculatus (swimming crab). RNAcentral's name for it is "uncharacterized LOC123516907, transcript variant X1". Lineage: Eukaryota; Metazoa; Arthropoda; Malacostraca; Decapoda; Portunidae. The record is from RNAcentral.